UUUCCGUAGGUGAACCUGCGGAAGGAUCAUUAAUGUAUAACUGGGGUGUGAGGGCUGGCGUUGAUACGAAAGGUAGAGCAAGCUUGAGUGCACUUACACAUAUCCAUCUCACCCCGAAGAGCACCACAGCGGGGGGCCCUCUUUGGCUUGUUCGGAGGGGGGAUUACGUUUUCAAAAAAACUAUGAAUGCAGAGUAGAAGGUAUUUGUUGUUAUUGCGAAAAAGAAAACAAUAAAAAUUUCAACAACGGAAAUCUUGGCUCUCGCAGAGAUGAAGAAAG
Molecule: unclassified non-coding RNA, 279 nt
Filed under: plant metagenome
Description: partial contains small subunit ribosomal RNA, internal transcribed spacer 1, and 5.8S ribosomal RNA
Source: RNAcentral